GGGUAAGUGGGAGAAUUGGUUAAUCCAGCGGACUGUAACUCCGCCGCCCGCCAUAGCUUGUAGGUUCGAAUCCUACCUUACCCACCA
Molecule: transfer RNA, 87 nt
Filed under: Moraxella lacunata
Lineage: Bacteria; Pseudomonadati; Pseudomonadota; Gammaproteobacteria; Moraxellales; Moraxellaceae
Description: tRNA-Tyr(gta)
Rfam family: tRNA
About the family: Transfer RNA (tRNA) molecules are approximately 80 nucleotides in length. Their secondary structure includes four short double-helical elements and three loops (D, anti-codon, and T loops). Further hydrogen bonds mediate the characteristic L-shaped molecular structure. tRNAs have two regions of fundamental functional importance: the anti-codon, which is responsible for specific mRNA codon recognition, and the 3' end, to which the tRNAs corresponding amino acid is attached (by aminoacyl-tRNA synthetases). tRNAs cope with the degeneracy of the genetic code in two manners: having more than one tRNA (with a specific anti-codon) for a particular amino acid; and 'wobble' base-pairing, i.e. permitting non-standard base-pairing at the 3rd anti-codon position.
Source: RNAcentral